UAUUAUUGCAAAAGUUAAGUCUUAUAUUCAAAUUUUAAGGUGUAAAUAAAUAUACUAAGGCUU
This 63-nucleotide transfer RNA is filed under the name Junonia iphita (chocolate pansy). Its description in RNAcentral is "tRNA-Cys". Lineage: Eukaryota; Metazoa; Arthropoda; Insecta; Lepidoptera; Nymphalidae. The record is from RNAcentral.